CCCUUAGAUGUUCUGGGCUGCACGCGUGCUACACUGAUAUUGCCAAUAUGUCAUUCUUAUCCGAAAUGGAUUGGGUAAUCAAGUAAUGAAAUUUCAUGCUUGGAAUCGGUAAUUGCAAUUUUAUCGUGAACGAGGAAUUCCUAGUAAGCACUAGUCAUCAGCUAAUGUUGAUUAUGUCCCUGCCCUUUGUACACACCGCCCGUCGCUACUACCGAUUGAAUGGCUUAGUGAGGCCUCAGGAUCCGCGCUUAAUGUGUGGAGAAUUUGGACAAACUACGUCAUUUAGAGGAAGUAAAAGUCGUAACA
This 306-nucleotide ribosomal RNA is filed under the name uncultured eukaryote. RNAcentral's name for it is "partial 18S ribosomal RNA". It matches the Rfam family "Eukaryotic small subunit ribosomal RNA", at positions 1470 to 1796 of the family's 1831-position model. The record is from RNAcentral.